UUCUUUAUUCUUUGUACUACAGAACAAAAAAGGAAUACAUGCUCUCCUUCAAGAUAAAGGUGCUGGUUGUAAUAAUAAUAAUAAUAAUACAAUAAUAAUAUUUAUUGAGCAUAUGUAUGUGCCAAUUGCUUUGUAAGCACGUUAGAGCACUAUUAUCUUAUUCAUCCACACAGUAACCAUUUAACAGAUGAGGAAAUUAGUCCUGGGGAACUGGGUAACUUGCCUCAAGUCCCUCUACUAAGUGACAAGGUGGGGAUUAGAACCUGACUUUUUCAAUAGCUGUUUUACUGAAGAAAGAGAAGGGCUGGGCAGACUGUGAGUGGCUUGGCAGUGCGGCAUUCCGUGUGCGGCCCAUGUGCUGAUUUCCUAGCACCCCAAACAUAGCUCUGAUCAUUGUUGGGAAUUCACCUGAUGAGUCCUGGAACUUCAGUUCCCCAAGGAACAGGCCCGGACACCGGCAACACAAAGCGACCGUUAUUAUUCUGAACUUUGUCCUUUAGAAACAUGGAUACCUGGAAAAAAAUACAUUUAUUGUCAUUUUUCUUGGUAUAUUUUCAUAGACAUCAAUAUUCUGAGGGUGGAAAGUGCGUAAUGGUUUGGGAACAUGACCUAUGAGUUUAUAACAAUAAGAAGGGAGAGGCUGGGCGCAGUGGAUCAUGCCUGUAAUCCCAGCACUUUGAGAGGCUGAGGCAGGCGGAUCAUGAGGUCAGGAGAUAGAGACUAUCCUGGCUAACACGGUGAAACCCUGUCUCUACUAAAAAUACAAAAAAUUAGCCGGGCGUGGUGGUGGGCACCUGCAGUCUCAGCUACUCAGGAGGCUGAGGCAGGAGAAUUGCUUGAACCUGGAAGGCAGAGGUUGCAGUGAGCCAAGAUCGUGCCAUUGCACUCCAGCCUGGGCGACAGAGUAAGACUUCAUCUCAAAAAAAUAAAAAAAUAAAAAAAAGAAGGGAGAAAAAAUUACACUUGCAGAGUUAACUGUAUUUUAACAAACAGAACUAUUUUUUUUUUUGAGAUAGGGACUCACUUUGUCACCCAGGCUGGAGUGCAGUGGCACGAUCUUGCCUCACUGCCACCUCAGCCCCGCCAGCUCACGCGAUUCUCCCGUCAUAGCCCCCAAGUAGCUGGGACCACAGGUGUGAGCCACUGUGCCCAGCUAAUUUUUAUAUUUUUUUGUAGAGAUGGGUUUUCGCCAUGUUGGCCAGGCUCAAAAUCCUAAGCCCAAGUGAUCUGCCUGCCUCGGCCUCCCAAAGUGCUGGGAUUACAGGCGUGAGCCACCGUGCUCGGCUACAAACAGAACUACUUUUGAGCAGCGCAGCAAACCUUCCAGGUCUUGGAAGAAGAUGAGGAGUGUCUGCCGGAUCAGCUGGAACUCCCCUGCAGAGAGACCACCAUAUAUCUGCCAAAGGCAAGCAGAAAGCAGCACUUCACUUUCCAAGAGGGAUGAGUAGUACGCACCGGCAGGGCAGAUGGGUACUCAGGGAUGGGAGCCAGAUAGGUAAGGAGAGGACUGGGCUGCUGGGCAGGAGGGGCAGCGGGGAGACCAGCAGUGCUGCCUCUCCACGGUGACAAAGCCUGUUACCCCACACCUGAGCAGGGGUACACUUCCUGUCUCCCAUUCUCCACAGACCUGGAGAGCCUGUUCCCCAAGAUUUAGCAGAACAUCCACCACCAAGUCCCUUUCCGAAAAGUGAGGAGAAAAUGGCUAUGCUCUGUAUAUUGCUUUUCCAAUUGUGAAGGCAUCAGUAAGAGGACAUAAGAUGAUGAUGCCUGUUACAUUACCAAAAUGGACACGGAUUGCUUUUCAGAAUGUUCUGGGAGAGUGGCAGGCUUUGCCAUUCCUCAUCCUGUUCUCUCUGUCAUAGAUCUACCUGUUCUUAACAGAGGGAUGAGAAAAAGUACUGGGGCUGAGAGGCGAGACACUGAUGGCACUCUUACUUCUGUCAGCUGCCGCAAAGUCUCGUCCACUUGCUGCAGGAUGGUUGGGGAGUCUCGGAUGAAUCCCUUGAUGGUAUCCAAGUGAUUGAAAGUGACCAGCAGCACAUCCUUGGGUCGGGGACACAGCAAUACUUGAUAUUUGAAAGCCAUGGUCAUCAGGUCAUAGAGCUGCCAACCCACACACAAGCAAAAGAAAUGGGAUCAUAUCAAAAUCAGGUGUGAGAAUCUCCAAACAGUGAUUCAGUCAAGCAUUUACUGAAAACCAACUCUGGGCUUGCCAUACAGCUCGGGGGACCAUAUCACUUAUCACCCAAACCAAGACACUUCUGAGAGUCAAGGCGGGUGCUUUUAAUAAUUAAGCCAGGAAAACAGGAGUAAGCCAGCACAUUCCUGGGCAAACCAGGAUUUCUGGUCACCUGAUGUGUAUUGUUAAUGGGAUACGUCUGAAAUAAUAUUGGCAGCAGCGGAGUCCCAAAGUGAGCACUGGAUCUGGAGAAAGAAAAUGCAAAUUUAAGUACUCCUUUCCUCCUAACUUAUUGUAUAACCUUGGCCAAGUUUCUUAACCUCUUUGGGCCUGAGUUUUCUCAUCUGUAAAAAAAUACUCUCUAAUUUCCCAAUGUUGCAGAGGUGCUGAGAGCAAUAAAUGAGGCAAUAUGUGUGCAAGUGGCAAGCAUAGAGUUCUACAACUUUAUAAGAAUCAUUUUAAAUGAUGAACUAUGUGGAUAUCAACAAGCCAUCUCCACAUAGGUGUGGUAUGACCAUACAUGAAAGAUCAGAAGGGAGGAACUGGUGGGGACCAAAGUGGUGAAGGCAGGCUUUGUGGUACAAGUGGCCUUAUAUAGCCCUCGAGGCAGCUGCAGGAUUUAAAUUGGCUGAGGGCAGAGGAAAGACAUUCCAGUUGAGGGAAACAGUACAUGUGAGGGCCUGGAGGCAGCAAUGAGUAUGUUAUUUUUCUGGGAGAAAGAGGAGAAUGGCCUGAGGACAGUUUGUGUUGGGGAUGGCAGGUAAUAAAGCUGGGUAAGUAUGGCAAAUGAAGAUGGCAACAAUAGAAACUGGGGACUGCAAGAAUGGGGAGGGAGGGAGGGAGGUAGGGGUCAAGGGCUGAAAAACUAACUAUUGGGUACUAUGCUGACUACCUGACUGAUGGGCUCACUUGUACCCCAGACCUCAGGAUCACGCAAUAUACCCAUGUAACAAACCUGUGCAUGUACCUCCUGAAUAUAAAAUAAAAGCUGAAUUAUUAAAAAUAGAAUAAAGUUUUUGGGGAGAUACACAAUAUAAUUUAGACUAGAUGUAGUAGAAGUUAGGGGGUUAAAGUUUUCUGGGCUGACAUGAUCAAAGUGGUGACUGAACGAGAUCUGGCAAUGAUGAGCUGUGACAGAAGGGAGAGACUAGUUAGGGGGAGUAGCUAGCACCUGGUUCCUGAAAAGAUUACAAUAAAUAUCUACUGAUUGCAUGAAUGAAAGAAAUGUUGUUGGAGCAAUCCAGACUUAAGGCCUGGAAAAAAGAUAGUGGGAACGGAGAAGUCAGGGAAAGGAAGAUCACGCGAUAUUUAGAAGGAAAAGCUGUCAGUAGGUGGUGACUGCCUAGAUUUGGGGGAUGAUGAUCAGGGUUGUCCAGAAGGACUGCACCUUUUCAGCCUAGUGCGGGUGGGGAGGGAUGAUGCUAUUGAUGGAGGAAAAGACGUCUGAGGGAUGUGGGAGCGGAAGAGCCAGGAGAGAAGAUGGACGGUUAACUUAAGGACAUGUCUGGGGCAGGAUUGAAACGAUAAACAACUACCAUCUGAGUGUCAUGCCAAGCACGUGUAUAUAUAUUACCUCAUUUGAUCCCAUUUAUUCUUCACAAGAACUCUAUGAGGUAGGUAUUAGCCCAGUUUAAUAAUGAGGAAACUUGCCUAAUUUCAUAUUGCUGGUAAGUGCAGAAUGAUAUUUGACCUCAAGACUAUCAGAUUCUAAGGCACUUGCCAGGACCCUGCUACACAAUCCCAUUUCUCCUACCUGCAGCCAAACAUUUCCACUUAGAAGGUGGCAUACAACCAGAAUAGCUAGCCAGAUGCAGUGGCUCACGCCUGUUAUCCCAGCACUUUGGGAGGCCGAGGUGGGUGGAUCACCUGAGGUCAGGAGUUCGAGACCAGCCUGGCCAACAUGUUGA
RNAcentral lists this long non-coding RNA (4086 nucleotides) under Homo sapiens (human). RNAcentral's name for it is "HSALNT0004932". The record is from RNAcentral. Lineage: Eukaryota; Metazoa; Chordata; Mammalia; Primates; Hominidae.